AGCCCUGAAUGGUGCUAUGCCCGUCAUCGGCACAGCUAGGGCCACUGUGGGAGCAGCGCAGAGGCCUCCUCCCUGACUCACCUGAGAUGUCUUUCCCUCCCCUCCCGCACCCCUGCUGAAGCGGCCCUCGGCUUGAGCUCAUCCCCUCCCCCCACCAGGAGACAAAUGAAUUGCUUCCCCAUCUGGCCCGGAGCCACAGCCCCUUUCCUCACCUCCAGCAGGCACUGCCUCCGGGACAGUAACGUUUGCUGCCCUCACUCCUCUCCCCAGCAGGCUGGAGCCUCUACCCUUGGCGUUCAGGAGCCCGGCACUGGGCCAAGCUGGAUGAGUGUCCAUGAACCCUCAAGAUAAAUGUGAUGCUCCCAGUUUUACAAAAGAGAAAACCGCGCCCCCCAAGAGGCAACGCAGCUUGCUCAAGAUCAGGGCAGGUACGCGGGGCCAGCAUUUAAUGGCCAGCGGCGUGAAAGCUGAGCCUGCCCCCCACCCCCGCCCGGCCCCAUGCAGCCCCCAGUGACGGCACACAAGGGGUCCGGUUUCCGUCCUUCUUCCAAAUGCUCUCCCCUCGGCGGCUUUGCACAUGAACAAUGAAAGCCGGCAGAGGUUUCCCACCGACUCCGGCGGCACCGGGAGGGUGGCCCCCAGGAGCAGGGACUGCCCACCAGGUGAGGAAGACAUAUAAACGCAAGCCACUUCCUACUGGCUGGGGGGCGGCGAGGACCCCGGCGGUAUUGACUGUUGAUCCAUCACGGUGAUACAUGAUCGCAUAUGUCACAGGGAGACACAUAAUCUGCUUCACGCUGUUUCCGACCUCCGGGGGGAGCAGGUUGUCUAAGCACCUCGAUGCCAUGGUGAUAGACGUCAUGUUAAUGCCUCUGUGCACGGAGGGAGCAUUAUAAAGGCAUCGGUCUGCGCCUCUAGGAGUCUCUUUACGACUUGGCACUGGGAGGCGGCCGAGCGCCAAGCCGCCUCGGAACGAGGACGCGGGCUCUGCCCCCGCGCCUGUCUGUCCUGGCAGGUGCUGCUCUGCAGCCUGGGCCCCCAGACGGUGCAGGCCUUGAUCUUCACCUCUUCGC
RNAcentral lists this long non-coding RNA (1073 nucleotides) under Felis catus (domestic cat). Its description in RNAcentral is "lncRNA (ENSFCAG00000049534.1)". Lineage: Eukaryota; Metazoa; Chordata; Mammalia; Carnivora; Felidae. The record is from RNAcentral.